RNAcentral lists this ribosomal RNA (235 nucleotides) under uncultured bacterium. Its description in RNAcentral is "partial 16S ribosomal RNA". It matches the Rfam family "Bacterial small subunit ribosomal RNA", at positions 96 to 334 of the family's 1533-position model. The record is from RNAcentral.
UGGCGGACGGGUGAGUAAUGUCUGGGAAACUGCCUGAUGGAGGGGGAUAACUACUGGAAACGGUAGCUAAUACCGCAUAACGUCGCAAGACCAAAGAGGGGGACCUUCGGGCCUCUUGCCAUCGGAUGUGCCCAGAUGGGAUUAGCUAGUAGGUGGGGUAAAGGCUCACCUAGGCGACGAUCCCUAGCUGGUCUGAGAGGAUGACCAGCCACACUGGAACUGAGACACGGUCCAG